UUAUAGUUGCCUCGCGCGCGCACACACGCUUGGCUCAGUCGUUCCACGGUCGUUCACUGUCGCCGAUCGCCUGUCUCUGUCACCGGCACCGCGAGCCAUCAGUCCAGCCGAACAGCCAGCGCUUUUGGAAAUUUCUAUCUGGAAAAAAACCCCCCCAAAAACAUCAGAGAAAUGACUUCGCCCGCAGCAUCUCCGCUGAAACCGGCCAUCACGGCCAACUCCACGGCUUCGCCCGCCCGUUUGCCUAGCGCUCAACCGACACCGACUCACGCUGCUCAACAACCGGCGGCGGCCCAGACGGUCCAUUGCAAGUGGCAGUGCGCCCUGCGCGAACAUCCGGUCAUGACCACCGGAACAAUGUCUUGGACUCGAGUCUGGAGAUUCUCCAAGCUGCUCGUGCAAACCGGAUGUUAGUCGAAUGCGAAACCUAACCGAAUCCGUGUCAUCGAUAGACUUACAAUAUAAUAUGCAUUGUAUCGCGUAGACUUUUUCAAUUCUCUCUCUCUCUCUCUCUCUCGAAAAAUGUAAUACAGUAUUUUCCUUUCCACGCAGUACUUACGCCGCUGAACCGUACACAUGGACCACCUGGGGGACCGCCAUUUUGAUUCCGUCUCGUUAUCUUGUACUUGCCGUAUCCGACUUUGUUCAGUGGAUAUAUUCGAUGACGGUUUCUGUUGAUAAUGUUUGAUAUCAAUUUGAUAAGAGAUAACAGCUGUUGUCUGACGUUAUCAGAUUUUUAUCACACGUAAUCAAGAUGGCGGAAUCCGUGUGGGAUCAAUCUGUUAUCACUAUUAGACUUCCAUGUGUAUAGUCCGGCGACUAUUGACAACAACGACAAUAGCUGUAGCACUCUGUUCAGCCAGACAUCGGACGUGCGCAGAAACCAAAACGCGUACAACAGGAGUAACGCGUUUUGGUUUCUGCGCAGGUCCUUUCUCUCGCUAAACAGCCGAGUUUUAGGACUUUGUGAAACGUUGCAAUCAUCGGCCGUGUACGGUACGAUACAAAAUACACUUAUAUUUGUUGUUAAAACGUUUUGUAAUGAAAAAAAAUAUUAUAAAACCUCAUAUGUAACACACGACUGUACUUAAGUAGCUGAUGUUUUUGCUGUCUUUUUUUUUUUUUUAGUCACUUUGUCAAUUAGAAAAUAGGUACAUCAAUAAUCAUUAUUAUUAUUAUUAUUAUUAUUAUUGUUGUUAGACGGUCAGGGCUGAUUGCAAGGACGUAUAUUUAAAGCGUAGCGUGUUAUCGAGAAAACAAUUAAUUACUAUUGAAAUAUUAAUAUAGUUCUAUUAUCUUGACUAGAGACUGUUUUUUUAGAGACGUUUUGCGUGCGAUUUUCAAGGCAAUAAUAUUUAAAAUUUACUAUAAUAUUAUACUAUUUGAUCGUUACCUUUUAUUUUGUUUUCGUUUUGUAGAGCCUAUAUUAUUAUUAUUGUAUCAUUAUCAUAGUUAAUAUUAUUAUUAUUAUUAUUGUACCCACGUCCGUUUUGUACAGUGGGCGUUUUUAAAUAAUUACUAAUAUUAUUAAAUACUAAUACAUUAGAGGGUAGGGUAAUAAUAUAGAUAAUAUCAUUAUUUAUUAUAAUGUAGUAUAAUAUUUUCGACUUCUUUUGAAAGUAUUCGACUUUUGUAUUAUUAGUUAUUUCGAUAUUAUAUUAAUACAAUCUGCUAACCAGCACACACACACA
Molecule: long non-coding RNA, 1691 nt
Organism: Adelges cooleyi (spruce gall adelgid)
Lineage: Eukaryota; Metazoa; Arthropoda; Insecta; Hemiptera; Adelgidae
Exons: 2
Source: RefSeq, a predicted model, not a curated record